This is a long non-coding RNA of Clupea harengus (Atlantic herring), 1151 nucleotides long. Lineage: Eukaryota; Metazoa; Chordata; Actinopteri; Clupeiformes; Clupeidae. The record is from Ensembl.
UAAAGCCCAGGAACUGUUGCAGCUCACAGUGAAACUCACUUUUCACCAGGAAGUGCUGCAGGAGUGCUGGAUGUGCUGUAUGGUCGCAGAAAUUAAAAUGGUGUCAAGGGAGACAAACACAAACUUAUUAAGCAUGUGUCUCGGGACACCAUUAAAUCAGGCAUUGGAACACAGCUGGAUUGUCAGUAAGGCCAAAAGGCAUGACCAGGUAUUCGCAAUGGCCAGAGGGCGUGUUGAAGACCGUCUUCCACUCGUCCCCUCUGUUGUGCGGACUAGAUGGUAGGUAUUGCGGAUAUUCGAGGUUGGCAAAGAACUUUAGUUGUAGCUCAAAGGUGUCUGAGGACAUCCGAGGAAGAGGGUAUCAAUUAUUUACCGUGAUGUUGCUAAGACCCCUAUAGUCAAUACAGGGGCAGAGGGAACCAUCCUUCUUAGUCACAAAGAAAAACCCGGAGAAGAGAAGGGGUGAGUGAUACCUGCAGCCAGGGACUCCUGAAUGUAUUCAUUCCUUGCCUCAGUUUCAGGAGGAGACAGGGAGAAGAGACAACUUCAUGGGGGUGAUGUGCCAGGCAUAUGAUCUAUGGCACAGUCAUAGGUGUGAUAUGGAGGCAGGGAGGUAGCCCAGGACUCGCUGAACACUGCCUUGUGAUCCGAGUAGUCAGUGAGCAAGACAGUAAGGUAGUGAGCAAGACAGUAAGGUAGUGAGGAAGACAGUAAGGUAGUGAGGUAGUGAGCAAGACAGUAAGGUAGUGAGGUAGUGAGCAAGACAGUAAGGUAGUGAGUAAGGCAGUAAGGUAGUGAGCAAGACAGUAAGGUAGUGAGUGAGACAACAUAGACUCUAACCUCAAAUGUUGUUACUAACCCAAUCUAGGUGCGGAUUGUGCUUAACCAGCCAGAACAAUCGGGGCUUGGGGGGAAUGUAGCAGAUGAAACACUGUGGUCUCCUGGUGGUUUCCAGAAAUAAGUAGACUCACCGUUGGAGAGAUAUGUGUGGUGUGGGCAAGCUUCACUCCAGUUAAAGCAUUAGCCUCCAGGGUGUUCUGCAGCAUGGUUGGGGAAGGAUGCAGUUAGGAGUCAACGAGAAUGGACACAAUGUAUGAUGGUGAUUGUCUGUGAGGAGAGUAGCAGGAAAAAGGGUGCGAAUCAUAGGGGAA